UACGUAGGGUGCGAGCGUUAAUCGGAAUUACUGGGCGUAGAGCGUGCGCAGGCGGUUAUGCAAGACAGAUGUGAAAUCCCCGGGCUCAACCUGGGAACUGCAUUUGUGACUGCAUGGCUAGAGUGCGGCAGAGGGGGAUGGAAUUCCGCGUGUAGCAGUGAAAUGCGUAGAUAUCAAGUGGAACACCAGUGGCGAAGGCGAGUCUCUGG
This 209-nucleotide ribosomal RNA is filed under the name uncultured prokaryote. RNAcentral's name for it is "partial 16S ribosomal RNA". It matches the Rfam family "Bacterial small subunit ribosomal RNA", at positions 524 to 732 of the family's 1533-position model. The record is from RNAcentral.